RNAcentral lists this ribosomal RNA (1356 nucleotides) under uncultured marine eukaryote. Its description in RNAcentral is "SSU rRNA". It matches the Rfam family "Eukaryotic small subunit ribosomal RNA", at positions 411 to 1779 of the family's 1831-position model. The record is from RNAcentral.
CACUUCUAAGGAAGGCAGCAGGCGCGCAAAUUACCCAAUCCUGACUCAGGGAGGUAGUGACAAGAAAUAACAAUAAACCGGCUUAUGCCGGUUUAAUUGGAAUGAGUACAAUUUAAACAUCUUAACGAGGAACAAUUGGAGGGCAAGUCUGGUGCCAGCAGCCGCGGUAAUUCCAGCUCCAAUAGCGUAUACUAAAGUUGUUGCAGUUAAAAAGCUCGUAGUUGGAUUUCUGUGGGGACGGAGCGGCCGGCCGCACAUCGCGGUUCGAGCUAGCGCUUUCCCUACAUCCUGCCGCGAACCGUGCUACCAUUAAUUUGGUGGCGCCGGGGAUCGGCUCGAUUACUUUGAGAAAAAUAGAGUGUUCAAAGCAGGCCACAUGCCUUGAAUAAGUUAGCAUGGAAUAAUAACUAAGGACUUCGGUUCUAUUUUGUUGGUGUUCGGGACUGAAGUAAUGAUUGAUAGGGACAGUUGGGGCGGUCUGUAUUCCAAAGCGAGAGGUGAAAUUCUUAGACCUUCGGAAGACAAACAGCUGCGAAAGCGUUCCGCAAGGAUGUUCCCUUUGAUCAAGAACGAAAGUUGGGGGAUCGAAGACGAUCAGAUACCGUCGUAGUCUCAACUAUAAACUAUACCAGCUAGGGAUCGGCCAACGUUAUUUCAUACCGACUUGGUCGGCACCUUAUGAGAAAUCAAAGCAUCUGGGUUCCGGGGGGAGUAUGGUCGCAAGGCUGAAACUUAAAGGAAUUGACGGAAGGGCACCACCAGCCGUGGAGCCUGUGGCUUGAUUUGACUCAACACGGGAAAACUUACCAGGUCCAGACAUAGUAAGGAUUGACAGAUUGAUAGCUCUUUCUUGAUUCUGUGGGUGGUGGUGCAUGGCCGUUCUUAGUUGGUGGAGUGAUUUGUCUGGUUAAUUCCGUUAACGAACGAGACCCCAGCCUGCUAAAUAGCGCGCGUGAGCUUUGCUCGCGGCGAGCUUCUUAGAGGGACUCUGAUGCGCGAUAGCACAUGGAAGUUUGGGGCAAUAACAGGUCUGUGAUGCCCUUAGAUGUUCUGGGCCGCACACGGGCUACACUGGCGCCUGCAUCGAGCAUAUCAGCUGGCCCGAGAGGGUCUUGGCUAAUCUUUUGAACCGGCGCCGUGCUUGGGAUUGACCUUUGCAAUUGUUGGUCAUGCAACGAGGAAUGCCUUGUAAACGCGAGUCAUCAGCUCGCAUUGAAUACGUCCCUGCCCUUUGUACACACCGCCCGUUGCUCCUACCGAUGAAUGUUCCGAUGAAAUUUUCGGAGAGCACCUGUGAACUUGGCUCUGCCUUGCGAACGGGAGGCUCAAAGUCACUUAAAUCUGAACAUUUCGAGG